Molecule: transfer RNA, 74 nt
Filed under: Planctomycetota bacterium
Lineage: Bacteria; Pseudomonadati; Planctomycetota
Also listed under: 1 other name
Description: tRNA-Ile
Rfam family: tRNA
About the family: Transfer RNA (tRNA) molecules are approximately 80 nucleotides in length. Their secondary structure includes four short double-helical elements and three loops (D, anti-codon, and T loops).
Source: RNAcentral
GCGCCAGUAGCUCAGCUGGCUAGAGCACACCCCUGAUAAGGGUGAGGUCGAUGGUUCGAGUCCAUUCUGGCGCA